RNAcentral lists this transfer RNA (58 nucleotides) under Agrilus planipennis (emerald ash borer). It matches the Rfam family "tRNA", at positions 8 to 63 of the family's 71-position model. From Rfam's summary of the family: Transfer RNA (tRNA) molecules are approximately 80 nucleotides in length. Lineage: Eukaryota; Metazoa; Arthropoda; Insecta; Coleoptera; Buprestidae. The record is from Rfam by way of RNAcentral.
UAGCUUAGUGGUCAGAGCAUUGGUGGGUAAAGCCAAAGGUAUCGGGUUCGAUUCCCGG